This is a non-coding RNA of Acanthosepion pharaonis, 114 nucleotides long. The record is from the annotation of a GenBank genome assembly. NCBI's taxonomy places the organism in Eukaryota, Metazoa, Mollusca, Cephalopoda, Sepiida, Sepiidae.
CUACGGCCAUAUCAUGUUGAAACAACGGCUCUCGUACGAACAUCAAAGUAAAGCAACCUCAAGAUGGGUCAGUACCCAGCCGGGUGACCGCUUGGGAAUACCAGGUGCUGUAAG